This 440-nucleotide ribosomal RNA is filed under the name uncultured Pseudomonas sp. RNAcentral describes it as "bacterial SSU rRNA". It matches the Rfam family "Bacterial small subunit ribosomal RNA", at positions 358 to 790 of the family's 1533-position model. Lineage: Bacteria; Pseudomonadati; Pseudomonadota; Gammaproteobacteria; Pseudomonadales; Pseudomonadaceae. The record is from RNAcentral.
GGAAUAUUGGACAAUGGGCGAAAGCCUGAUCCAGCCAUGCCGCGUGUGUGAAGAAGGUCUUCGGAUUGUAAAGCACUUUAAGUUGGGAGGAAGGGCAUUAACCUAAUACGUUAGUGUUUUGACGUUACCGACAGAAUAAGCACCGGCUAACUCUGUGCCAGCAGCCGCGGUAAUACAGAGGGUGCAAGCGUUAAUCGGAAUUACUGGGCGUAAAGCGCGCGUAGGUGGUUCGUUAAGUUGGAUGUGAAAUCCCCGGGCUCAACCUGGGAACUGCAUUCAAAACUGUCGAGCUAGAGUAUGGUAGAGGGUGGUGGAAUUUCCUGUGUAGCGGUGAAAUGCGUAGAUAUAGGAAGGAACACCAGUGGCGAAGGCGACCACCUGGACUGAUACUGACACUGAGGUGCGAAAGCGUGGGGAGCAAACAGGAUUAGAUACCCCAG